Molecule: ribosomal RNA, 374 nt
Filed under: uncultured bacterium
Lineage: Bacteria
Description: bacterial SSU rRNA
Rfam family: Bacterial small subunit ribosomal RNA
Source: RNAcentral
UAAUACGGAGGGGGCUAGCGUUGUUCGGAAUUACUGGGCGUAAAGGGUGCGUAGGCGGCUAUCCAAGUCAGACGUGAAAGGCCUGGGCUCAACCCGGGAACUGCGUUUGAGACUGGGUGGCUGGAGUCCGGGAGAGGUGAGCGGAAUUCCCAGUGUAGAGGUGAAAUUCGUAGAUAUUGGGAAGAACACCGGUGGCGAAGGCGGCUCACUGGACCGGUACUGACGCUGAGGCACGAAAGCGUGGGGAGCAAACAGGAUUAGAUACCCUGGUAGUCCACGCCGUAAACGAUGUGCGCUAGACGCAGGGGGUUCAGCCUUCUGUGUCGCAGCUAACGCGUUAAGCGCACCGCCUGGGGAGUACGGCCGCAAGGUUA